GAUGAACGCUGGCGGCGUGCCUAAUACAUGCAAGUCGAGCGAACAGACGAGGAGCUUGCUCCUCUGACGUUAGCGGCGGACGGGUGAGUAACACGUGGAUAACCUAUCUAUAAGACUGGGAUAACUUCGGGAAACCGGAGCUAAUACCGGAUAAUAUAUUGAACCGCAUGGUUCAAUAGUGAAAGACGGUUUUGCUGUCACUUAUAGAUGGAUCCGCGCCGCAUUAGCUAGUUGGUAAGGUAACGGCUUACCAAGGCAACGAUGCGUAGCCGACCUGAGAGGGUGAUCGGCCACACUGGAACUGAGACACGGCCCAGACUCCUACGGGAGGCAGCAGUAGGGAAUCUUCCGCAAUGGGCGAAAGCCUGACGGAGCAACGCCGCGUGAGUGAUGAAGGUCUUCGGAUCGUAAAACUCUGUUAUUAGGGAAGAACAAAUGUGUAAGUAACUAUGCACGUCUUGACGGUACCUAAUCAGAAAGCCACGGCUAACUACGUG
RNAcentral lists this ribosomal RNA (497 nucleotides) under uncultured bacterium. RNAcentral's name for it is "partial 16S ribosomal RNA". It matches the Rfam family "Bacterial small subunit ribosomal RNA", at positions 28 to 507 of the family's 1533-position model. The record is from RNAcentral.